Molecule: ribosomal RNA, 441 nt
Filed under: uncultured bacterium
Lineage: Bacteria
Description: bacterial SSU rRNA
Rfam family: Bacterial small subunit ribosomal RNA
Source: RNAcentral
AACGCGAAGAACCUUACCUGGACUUGACAUACAACUGACCGUGUUAGAGAUAACAUUUUCUCGCAAGAGACAGUUGAACAGGUGCUGCAUGGCUGUCGUCAGCUCGUGCCGUGAGGUGUUGGGUUAAGUCCCGCAACGAGCGCAACCCUUGUCGUUAGUUGCCAGCACGUAAUGGUGGGCACUCUAGCGAGACUGCCUGGGUUAACCAGGAGGAAGGUGAGGAUGACGUCAAGUCCGCAUGGCCUUUAUGUCCAGGGCUACACACGUGCUACAAUGGCCGGUACAGAAGGCAGCAAUACCGCGAGGUGGAGCAAAUCCCAAAAGCCGGCCCCAGUUCGGAUUGCAGUCUGCAACUCGACUGCAUGAAGUUGGAAUUGCUAGUAAUGGCGAGUCAGCAACAUUGCCGUGAAUACGUUCCCGGGCCUUGUACACACCGCACGA